RNAcentral lists this ribosomal RNA (492 nucleotides) under uncultured bacterium. RNAcentral describes it as "partial 16S ribosomal RNA". It matches the Rfam family "Bacterial small subunit ribosomal RNA", at positions 30 to 507 of the family's 1533-position model. The record is from RNAcentral.
AGUGAACGCUGGCGGUAGGCCUAACACAUGCAAGUCGAACGGCAGCACAGUAAGAGCUUGCUCUUACGGGUGGCGAGUGGCGGACGGGUGAGGAAUACAUCGGAAUCUACUUUUUCGUGGGGGAUAACGUAGGGAAACUUACGCUAAUACCGCAUACGACCUACGGGUGAAAGCAGGGGAUCUUCGGACCUUGCGCGAUUGAAUGAGCCGAUGUCGGAUUAGCUAGUUGGCGGGGUAAAGGCCCACCAAGGCGACGAUCCGUAGCUGGUCUGAGAGGAUGAUCGGCGGCAGUGGAAAGGAGACAAGGUCAAGACUGGACAGGGAGGGCGGAGUCGGGCAUAUGAAGCGAGGGGAGGAAGCGAGACGGAGCAACCCCGAGUGGGAGCAGAAGGCAUACGGAUAGUAAAGAGCGGUGAUUGGGGAAGAAAAAAUGGGUGAGGAGCUGUGGACGUAAUGACGGUACACAAUAAGAAAGCAACGGAUACCUACGUG